GUUACAGGAAAAAUUCUUCGUUCACGCGGCAAGAGCUGUGAAAAAGCAUUCGGACGGUUAAUUCAGUUAUAGAAUCAAAUUAAAAAUCUUUAAAUACGCAGUAAAGAUUUUUCUGUAAAUAAAUUUAAUUUUAUUCUCUUCAAAAAACAUGUCAGGAAGACAAGGUGGUAAGAAGAAGCCUUUGAAGGCCCCAAAGAAAGACAAAGCAGAAUGUGAUGACGAUGCAGAUUUUAAGCAAAAACAGAAGGAACAAGAAAAGGCCUUAAGAGAAGCAAGAGAAAAAGCUGCUAAAGGUGGUCCCUUAGGAGUUGGUGGAAUUAAGAAAUCUGGAAAGAAGUGAUAUUGAUUUUUAAUAGAUGUCAUAAUUGGGAUUUUCUUAACAAAAGAUGCUGUGUUGUAAAAAAUAUCCAUUUUUCUUGUACAUAAAUUCAUGUAAGAUCGUUAAAAAAAUAAACUUAGAGCUUUUUUACUGCUAAGAAGGAUGCUUAAUUUUUUUUUUUUCUGUUGACAGUUGUGUAUGAUUACUUCUUUAUUAAUUAUGGUUUGGAAUCAAUCCAUUGAUUGUGAAACAUUUGACAAGUUUCAAAAUAAAACUUUUGAAAGAACUGA
Long non-coding RNA from Argiope bruennichi, 609 nucleotides. RefSeq lists it as uncharacterized. The transcript is spliced from 5 exons. NCBI's taxonomy places the organism in Eukaryota, Metazoa, Arthropoda, Arachnida, Araneae, Araneidae. The record is from RefSeq and is a predicted model, not a curated record.